GACAUGGUGGUUCAGUGCUAGAAUUCUUGCCUUCAGUGUGGGAGACCUGGGUUCAAUUCUCAGCCAAUGCA
Molecule: transfer RNA, 71 nt
Organism: Loxodonta africana (African savanna elephant)
Lineage: Eukaryota; Metazoa; Chordata; Mammalia; Proboscidea; Elephantidae
Rfam family: tRNA
About the family: Transfer RNA (tRNA) molecules are approximately 80 nucleotides in length.
Source: Rfam